CAGCCGCCGCGGUAACACGAAGGGGGCUAGCGUUGCUCGGAAUUACUGGGCGUAAAGCGUGCGCAGGCGGUUUGUUAAGACAGAUGUGAAAUCCCCGGGCUCAACCUGGGAACUGCAUUUGUGACUGGCAAGCUAGAGUGUGGCAGAGGGGGGUGGAAUUCCGCGUGUAGCAGUGAAAUGCGCAGAGAUCUGGAGGAAUACCGGUGGCGAAGGCGGCCCCCUGGACAAAGACUGACGCUCAGGUGCGAAAGCGUGGGGAGCAAACAGGAUUAGAUACCCCUGUAGUCCCUGUCUCUUAUAC
This 301-nucleotide ribosomal RNA is filed under the name uncultured bacterium. RNAcentral's name for it is "partial 16S ribosomal RNA". It matches the Rfam family "Bacterial small subunit ribosomal RNA", at positions 509 to 807 of the family's 1533-position model. The record is from RNAcentral.